GCAUUUUCCAACUUGUUUGCUUGUGUGAACUUGUAUUUCUGUGCUGUGGGUGAGGUCACACACUCUGGGCCGCUGAACCCCAUCUGUGGAAUGGGGGUAACAGUGGCCUUGGCUUCCCAGGGCACUGCCAGCAUCAGCCAGUGCUGGGGGGCAGGCGAGGGGCCUCCUGAGGCUCUGGGACCCCCAUGUGGGGUUACUGUGAAUCUCUUGAGGUCUCCCCUGCAGGUGGGUGGGGGCCAAGUGCAGUGGUGGCGCUUUGAGUGGGCCUUGGCAUCCCCUCUAGUACCCGCACGCCAUCAUCCACUGUGCCCAUCCCUGCCACUGUAACCUCCGCCUCCAAGAAAAGGCUCAGCUUCUGGCCCAGAUGUCAUGGGCGGCAGCCAUGUGCAGCGGCUGAUACGCUCUGCAUCAGUAACCAGAUCAGUGCUGGGGUCAAAUAACUUUCUGCCGGGCAACAGAAUCCCUGCCCGGGGCCGCCGCCGUUGUUGGUCCUGACCGUGGGAUGAGCGUUGAAAGACAACGCCUCUGGGUGGGCCUGGGAGGGCAGGGCGGGGGCUGAGGGGCUGUUGGGACUGGGUGUCCACAUCUAAGGGAGGCAGAGGGGGCAGGACCCCCCGAGGGCUGCUGCAGAGCUCCAGGCUUCUCCUUGGAAACAGCCUCUCCAGCCGGCCUGUGGUGCCGCCUCCUCCAGCAAAGACCUCACAGGCAGAGUUCUGCAUGGGGCGGCCACACCUGGAUUUGGGCUAUUUUGUCUCCAGAGUCUUAAAAGGCCACCAGAGAAGGUCUUGAGGGGGUGCCCUGCCAAGUGACAAUUCAGAAUAAAAAAAGAUGCAGUCUCAGACACAAAAAGUGUUUCCACUUCCCAAUGUUAGUUUUGAAGAGCCUGGGGCCUCCUCGCCUUGCCUGCAGGCUGGGCUGACCGAGGAGCUCCCAGAGGUGUUCAGGGUCUGAGGUCCACCCAGCCCCGCUCCAGGCCCUGUGCGUGGGCUCCUCCCAGGGCAGGCGUCUGGGGGCCCUCACAGCCAGGCGGGGCCUGAAAGCUGAUUCCUGUAGAGGGAUUUUCCCUCAGAGACAGAGGAGACAUUGUGCCUAGUGAGGCUGAGCAUGGCCCAGUGGGGGCAGGAGCCCACCUUCUCUGUUCCUGACCCUGAGACAAAGCGGCCUCCCCCUGCUGUCAGGCCACGCGGCGGCUGGUGGGGGGCUUGGGAGCCAGAACGCUCCAGAGAGACGACUGCCAGAGGCCUGAAAGCCACUGCCUGUGGUGGCCACUGCUUCGAGACCUCCUUCCUCCAGAUGGAGGCCCUGUUCCCCGCUCCUCUAAUCAGCCCUCAGGGAGGUGGUGCACUCAUGAAAAUGGGCAUAGGGCUGGGUGCGGGCGGUCAUCCUGAGGUGCCAAAGGGGAGGGGAUGGGUCACCUCUGCCAUCACCCUUGGUUGACCUCCAGGCCAGGUCGGAUUCCAGGGUCAGCUCCCACCAAGUCUGGCAUCCUCAAACACAAGCCCUUCCUAGGGCUGACCAUGGCCCCUGCAGCAAGCUGAAUCAUGCUCCUCCUAAAAUUCAUGCCCUCACAGAACCUAAAAGGUGAUCUUUUCUGGAAAAAGCAUCUUUGCAGAUGCAAAUUAAUUGACAUAAGGUCACAUGGAAUCAGGAUGGGCUCUGAACAAGGAAGUAGGGUGUCUUUAUAAGAAGACACACAGGGAAGUGCUCAUGUGAAGACAGAGGCGGGGAUGGAGGUGAUGUGUCUAGAAGCCAAGAAUGGCCAAGGAGGGCCAAGGAUGGUCGAGGAUGGCCAAGGAGGGCCAAGGAUGGUCGAGGAUGGCCAACGAGGGCCAAGGAUGGUCGAGGAUGGCCAACGAGGGCCAAGGAUGGUCGAGGAUGGCCAAGGGGGGCCAAGGAUGGUCGAGGAUGGCCAAGGGGGGCCAAGAGGGCCGAGGAUGGCCAAGGAGGGCCAAGGAUGGUCGAGGAUGGCCAAGGGGGGCCAAGGAUGGUCGAGGAUGGCCAAGGAGGACCAAGGAUCGUCGAGGAUGGCCAAGGAGGGCCAAGAGGGCCGAGGAGGGCCAAGGAGGGCCAAGAGGGCCAAGGAUGGCCAAGAAUGGUCAUGGCUCACUGAGAACCGCUAAGGAAGGCCAAGGAGGGCCAAGGAUCAUCAAAGAUGGCCAAAGAGGACCAAGGAUGGCCAAGGAUCGCCAAGGAUGGUAGAGGAUCACUGAGAAUCGCCAAGGAAGUCCAAGGAGGGCCAAGGAUGGCCAGCAACACCAGACCUGGAGAGGCUGGGGACAGAGUCUCCCUCAGAGCCUCAGAAGGAGCCAACCCUGACCUCCCCUGGAUCUCAGGCUUCGGGUCUGUAGAACUGUGAGAGCACACAGUGUGUGGUUUGAAGCCACCUAGUUUCUGGUACUUUGUUACAGCAGCUCCAGGAAAUAAACACAGUCCCUGAGAGCCGCCCAGGGCACCCCUGCUGGGACACCCAUCUGGCCGGUGGUCAGGGCUUCAGGUGGGACCAUCUAGUGGGACUUGUGUGUGCCUCUACUCUGGGGGCAUGGCCAGCCCUCAGCCUCUGCCACAAGGACUCGGUCCAUUCCCAGGAAGGGCAUCCCCUGCGUUCAUCUCCCAGAGAGAGCUGAUGCUCAGGCCUGAGCUGGCUCUCUGCAGCUGUGCGUACCCUGGGGCCGGCUAACACCUCCUGGGAGCCCGGCCACCUACCCCAGCUGAGCAGCUUACCCAAGUCACUCCUCCCUGGCAGGCUGCUCAUUAGAAGAGGGGCUGCAGCUCACAGGCAUGAGAGAUUUCCUUGGGGACACUCCCUGUGUCCCUCAGAAGGACCUGGGGGUUUGGGGGUCACCCCUCCAAAGGACGCAUUUUCAGUAAUUAAAGAGGCAGUGGGGCCUGGAAGAGGCUGAGCCAGCUCUGGGCUGGGGGAGAGGUGGUUGGCGGAGUUCAGAGGCCACAUGUAGGGGCCAGAAACUGUGCGCUACCAGGUGACCAGAGCUCUGCUCAGCCCCUCGCGUGCAUCCUCCCCCCAGGACAUCAGUAUUUUCUCCAGCACCACCAGGGGCGUCCGCUGGCCUGGACCCUCAGGGACUCUGGCCCAGGGCAGGGUUCUGUGUCACAUCAGCACAAGGGAGGGUCAGAUGUGCUGCCCACGACCCGCCGAGUCCCACAGCUGAUCUGCUCACUCGCCGAGUUUGAGAACCAAGGCUGGGCAGGUAGGGGGGUGAUGACGGAAUCAAGGGGGGGUGACGACGGAAUCAGGGGGGACAUCUGUGCUUUAGAUCCUGACCCCAUGGAGUCGGAGCCUGCCUGUGCCCGCAGGAUCAUGCCAGGGCCUCAGUGCUUGGGUGGGGGCCAUGCAUCCAGUUCAGAGGCCAGCAUCCAGGGAGGGUGCCAGGUCGCUCGGCUGUUCGGAUGUUGUCACAGGGGAACCUGCUGGCUUCCGUCCCUGUGAAUGAGGCUUCAUGUCAGGUACAGUCUUUUGGCCAGGAAUGAGGGCAUGAGCGAGUGAGCUGCCAGGUCUGUGUCCGAGGACCCUGAGCCCAGCCAGGAGCAUCGCGGGGAGUGUGGAGAGAUUGUCUGGGAGUGGCUAUAGGGUUUAGGAAGUCUUUUGAGGGCCUGUCAAGAUGGCCAGGACUGGCAGGCGGGGCAGGGUGGCAAAGGUGGCCUCAGAGAGGAGGAGAGUGAGCCCGGCAGGCUGGGGGCGACCCUGCAGGCGGAGCCCCCUCCUUGGGGCUCCUAGUGCCCCAGGCCCCACUGUGGGAGUCCUGCUCCGCACCCACUUUGUAGAGUGGCUGGGGAGAGACGGAGGGAGAGACGGAGACCCCUGGAGGCCCCAUGCUCCCUCUUGGCGGCAUCAAGGCUACACCAGGACUCUCUCCUCUGGCUGGCAGGAGUGUCCAGGAGGGGCUGGCCCUGCUGCUGGUAGAUCCUCCUCCCAACCCAGACGGAGGGAGGGUGGCAGCCCCCACCCCUGCAAGCUCUUUCUUUCCUUUUCCCAAAGUUGAAGCUUCUCCUGGUGCCUCAGCAGCAACCCCUUCACCAGCCCCGUCCGCUGCCCGCAAUGUUGGUGGAGUAAGGAGAUGAGGCCCGUGCAGAGCCGGGGGAGCCCCUGGGGGGUCUCUAAGCUGAACAGGCCUCUUUGACAUCAUUACAUAAGCCGUCACAUUGUCACAGGCCACGGCCAGGAGUUGUAAAUACUCGGGGAAAAGCCCUCUUUGUUAUGAGGUUCUGGGAUGUGAGACCUUGCAGCUUUUACUGCUCAGGAUUAAAGGAAGCCAGGCCUGCGGGGAAGUGCGGCCGCUCCCAGCACCGGCCCUCGCCUUUGUCGGUGCUUUUUAUGACUGCACACGUGGGUUUCCAGGCGGGAGCUGGGGGUUCCCUGGCCUGGGACCCAGCAGGCACUGGCGGCAGCUGGCGGGGCCCCUGAUCCUCACGGACUUCCUCCUCCCUCCGCUGUCUCCCCGGCCUCCCUGGGCUUUCCAGGAGAGCCGUCCACGCCUGCUGUGGGAGGAAGACGCUUUCCUGAGGCAGGGGCCAGGCAGCUUCUGUUGGCGCCUGGAACAGCUUCCGCUCAUCGCUUCUGGCGGCACACACUGCGGAGGUGAGACUGCAAAUGCCGCCCGCCCCACGUGGUGCAGGCUGAGUGCUCUGGUGUUUGUCCAAGCUGUUCCAAGCCCAGGAGGUCGGACUCUCACCGUCGUCUUGGUGAUGGCAACGCUGUGUCCUGCCCCACCUCGUGGCUGCCCCCACCUGUACCGGUGAGACCUGAGGGUACGGGUGGGGUGGAUCCUGCCAUUCCCAAGGGCUAAGUCCUGAGACCCUUUUGAAACCCCGUUUGAAAAGGUGACAAUAGCGUAUGGCUUCCCGCACCAAGUGCACACAGUACACUAGCGACAGGCACAAAGGCAACAUGAAACGGGCUGCUCUGUGCUCGGGUGUCGCAGAAGCACGGGCCAGAGAGCCGGUGGCUGCCCAGGACCAAAGGGACCCACAUCGACCUGCUGGGCACUGGGGCCUAGAGAGUGACCAGAGCGUGAUUAGAAGAGGCCGGAUCACAGGGAGCCCCAGUCCACUGAACCACAUCCAGAAGGUAGAAAGGUUGUUUCUCUCCCCUGGAUGCCUGUGGGGGUGGGGACGGCAGAGCCUCGGACACUGCCCGGGGAUCACUCUCAGGCUACUUUUCCCACCCUGCCAAGCUGCUCGAGACGUCAAAGGAGACCAGGCCGGUCAGCACACAGGCUUCUGGUAAGUGCCGCCCUCCGGUCUGGGAGCUCAGCUCUCCCCUUCUGACUCACCGCUCGGCGCUGACUCAUCGUGACGGCGAGUGGGGCUCCAGCUCCGCGGCAUUUCAUAGACAGCGCGGUCACAUUCCUUUCCAACAGUCGCUCUGGCCUCGAUGUCUAAGGCUCCGUGGGCAGCCGGCCUGUGGAUGAGGCGGCGGAAACCACAUCCUCUUCAUCAUCCUCUCACGAGGAAGGACACUGACAGCUUCGGAGAAGGCUGCCCAGUGUCUGCGGGUGCCCUUGGGAGAUGGCCUUGGGACACGGUGCCUGUGCCUGUGUGUGUACACCACGUGUGAACGCCAACUGGGAACACGGCCCCUUCGUAGGCAAACCCAGGCCUCCUGGAAGUCACAAGUUGAUAGCUGUACUCGCCCCUUUUGGAAGACGCACGCCCAAGGCACCCGUGUGUGCACACGUAUCCGUGUGUGGACCUCUGUCCACACGUGUGUGUUUUGAAAAGCCUUUCUCACCACAUGUUAGGAUCACAAGUGUUCAAAAUCUAGGCACACUUUUCAGAAGUUAUUUCUGGAAAAAAUGUUGAAUCUCAUAACAGCAAUAAAAGGAAAAUACCGCCUCAGCCAACAUAAAUGUCUCCUUGGAACAUGCCUGAAAAGCGGCGGAGUAUUUGUGUAAGUUUCAAUUCCAGCGUCAGAGCCUGCAGCUUGGCCGAGGCCGGGUUCUGCACAGGAGGGUGCACGGUCCCUUUCCGAAAGCCCCUCACCGGACUUCUGGGAACUCCCAACCCAUCCCGGGAACCCCACCUGCCGGCCCCGGAUCCGGAUGGGCUCCUGAUGUAUCCCACAGAGGGGAUGCCAACGUCAGACACCAGCAGGCUGGGGAGGAGCGGCUGUGAGGUGCAGCCGGCGGGUGGGCGGCCAGCCUCCAGGACAGACCUCGGAGGAGGCUGGGGGCUGCCUGCUGCCCUCGGGGCCCUGUGGUCCCACCACACCCGUGCCUGUCCCAGUGAUCCUCAUGUCACCGGCCCAGUGAGAGGCUGCUGCUACCAACCCCGCCAGCCUGCAGGCCGCUGAGUGCUGGGCUGCUCCUCCUCAGAGGAUGAGCGUGGGAAUAACCCAGUGGGGCGAGGAUGCUGACGGCGCCAUGGAUGUCCACUGAGGGCCCGAGAUGGGCCAGGCCGAGCUCUGUGCUUUGGAGUCAGAUCUCAUUUAAACCCAGCAGCACAUCCCAUUUCACACGUGGGAAGGUGGGGGAGUCAGGAUCAGAGAGCAGGGUGUCGCAUGGGGGAGCAGCCGGGCUGCGAUGUGAACCCUACAGUCUGCCCAUGAGCCGCACUCCUGGGCUGGACACUCCAGAGCCUUCUCAAGCAGCUUUCUUGGGGCUCCCUGAGCACCUGGCUGGAUGCUGCUGGUCUGGAACUCUGGACGGGGGCCCCGGGAGCUGACCUGCAAAGCUGUAGAGCGACUGUGAGGCACUGGCAGCUUUGCAGCCCCUCUGGACCCAGGGUGGGGUGGGCUGAGCAUCUGGCCUUCUGGGUCUAUCUGGGAGGCAGGGCUGUCUCAGAUCUGGGGCCUUCUGAGAAAGAUGUCGAACCCAAGCUUCCUUGGGGAAGGAGGCAGAUGGACCCCAGAUCACUCUCCUGGGUGUGAAAUCAGCUUUGGGGGUGCCUUCGGGGUCGGGCAGAACUGGGCUCACCCAGCUCUCGCCUUUUCUGGCUGUGUCACUUGGGUGAGCUCCUGAGCCUCUCUGUGCCUCGGUUUCCCUGUUGAUUAGGUCAGGCCAAGGAUUAAAUGAUGGCAAAGUCGUACCACGCUGGCUGGUUUUGGGCCUGUGGGGAUUCUUCAUCAUUUCUUCUCUUUCUCCUACUGCAGCUCCAGGCUACCCUGAGAUUUGCCUGCUGGGUCUGGGCUUCAUGGCGGGGCCAGAUUGGUGCCUCGGAGCAGAGGGCACAGGACAGAGCGGGCACCAAUGCACGGGCAGGUUUCCAGGCACUUUGGGAAGAAAUAAGAUCCCACCCAAGAACCUCUCCCCAACUCUGGCCUUGGCUCGUCCUGGUUGUUUCCAAAAGUGAAAGAAGGCAAAAGAGUGAGCCGAGGCCCACCGGGAACAACAACAAAGACCCGGCCUCGGAGUGGCGGCAGCGCCGCGGCCACUGCAGGAGAGCUCUGGUUUCUAUUAGUGGGAAGCGACGGCUCCGUCUCAGGACAGAGCUUGGGCCAUCAGCCCUCGGCGGGUUAACCCUUCCCCACCUCACUGCUCUCACAGGCAACAGGCACCCCUGAAGCUGGGAAGUCCUGGGGCCGGGUUCAGCUGAGGACUCCCUGCAUCCUGCCACCACCACCAACCAUGCUGGCGCUCACACACACACACACAUACGCACGCACACACGCACACACAUGCCUACACACACCCACACGUCUCACAGACACACACGCACACUCACAUGCAUGCACACGUGCCCACACAUGCCCACAUGUCUCACACACACGCAUGCCCACACAUGCACACACACUUAUAUGUGCACACAUAUGCACAAUCCACACCAGCACACACAUGCACAUACACAUACACACACACAGACAUGCAUGCACAUACACACCCAUACAUGCAAACACAUAUUCCUACACAGGGACACUCCACGCCAGGGCCAUGUCAUCUGAGGCCAAAUGAAGAGUUGGCAGAGGAGGAAGGCCUGGAGAGGUAGCGUGGAGGCCAGAGGAGGCCCUGGUUGAGACGUGCUUGCUGGUUUGGCAGGUGGAGGGACUUGGGGACCAAGUAACCCGGCUCGGUCAAACAUUCUCUCCCCAGGCACGGAUGCUGUGUCCCUGGGGAGCCCAACCUCCCCAAGUGGAGCUUGGCUGAGACCCCUCAGCAGCUCCGAGGGCCCCUGUGGGUUGUGAUGCCAGAAACAGGGCCAGAGCUCAGAGGAGGCACAGGGACUACGGUUUCCGUUGAAAGACGGCUCAGGGUCACCGGGCUCAGCAGAGGGAGGGCGCUUCAGGGGCGGUGACCGGGUCGCUUUAGGAAGAUGGGUGGGGGGCACUCGACUCCCAAGGCUGAGGGAGGGGAAAGGUGUGUGCACACUGCAGGCAUCCGGCCUUUGGGCCCCAGAGUGUGCCGGGCAGGUGUCAUCUCCAUUAACAGCUGCAGCCGCUGUGGAGGUGGCUGCCACCAUGAUACCCAUCGUACAGGUGAGGAGGUGGAGGUAGGAAGGGCGUGGCCUGUCUCAACCUGACAGGGAUGUGUGUAUGUGGCCACAUGUUGACUUUUUGUUUUAAAAUUUGGAUUCUACUGGGGAAAAAGAUUACAAUAAAGUGUCUGUGCUGCACCCAGGAAGGCAUGCCCACUGGGUAAGGCUCGGCACCAAGCGGCCUCUCACUGUGGGUCAGGCUCGCAUGGGGCGGGUGUGCCUGGCCCCUGUGUGAACCUGGAGCUGGCCAUGGGGAGAGGCUGCUCUGGGGCUUUUCAGAGAAUCCGUGGUUGAUUCCCUCAAGGACUCCCUCAAGGGGGCCACGCUCCUCCUCCCUGGGUCCCCUCCCUGGCCCCCACCCUUCCCUUUCUCAGGUCCUCCCUCUGACAGUGGCUGUAGCCCUCUGCUCCUAGCCCAGGGCAGCCCUGGCCUCUGGAGUCACAGUCAUGUGUUCAAGUCUCGGCCCCUUUCCCAAGGUGAGCUGGUCCUGCAGGGAUGCGGGAAGUGUCAGAAUAUGAAAACAACCAGGACAAGGACAGCUCAGCUUACCCCGCUCCAGCACCUUCUCCAGGUCAAGCACUUGGCCAGCCCUGUAGCAGCCUCCUCAUUCCAUCUCUCUGGUGUUUUACAGAUGAGAAAUGAGCACAGAGAGGUUAGGAGCAUUGUCCAGUGCCACAGAGCUGGCAUGUGCUUGUCUGGGCUGAGAACUCUAUGAAGCCUUGGAAAUGCUCCCCACAUAUGGAGCAGUGUGUUCAGGCCCCAUGGCCUGACCGGGAGCAGGAGGGAAGGACAGGCUCAGGUCUCGCAUCCCGGGAAGAAUUUCUCCUCAGUGCACCAGGGAAUAUCGCCUGACGACGGAAUCAGGUUUCUUUCCCCAUGACCCCUCCACCAUUAGUGUUCCCAGAAAGCCAGGGGCUGCUGUGCCCAGAGGAGGUGCACCCUGGGAGCCCUGCCUGCAGGACGGGAAGCAGAGCCCCCUCAGAACAGAAACUAGGAACAGAGGAGGGACAAGGGAGGGAGGGCAGAAGGUCCGGUGCCCUCAGUUUCUAUCCAUCCUUGGGUCGGAAACCUGGGAUGGAAUGAGUGAGGAGCUGGGUCCACAGGGACAGGAACUGGGGGAUACCAGGGGCUAGGGCUGCUCAUCCUUUCCCAAGGAGGAGCCAGGGAAAAAUUAAGCUCAUAGGGAAUGUCGGGUUCACCGGGCCUGGCGGACUCCAGAUCCCAGAGGCAGGGCACCCACACAUCUCUCACCGGCACGCACCAGGGCCCCGAUAGCCGGGCACCAUCAUGGCGAAUUACAUUACAUUGCAUUACCCGGGGACCACUAUCAUGACCACGUUGGGAGAGGAAACUGAGGCACUAAGCUGCCAAAGUCACGCAGCCCACAACACUGGAAGGCAAAGCAGCCGUCUGGACCCCAGAACUGGAGCUGUCCCCUCACUGGGCGAAACCCAGAACCCAGUGUUUGCUUCUUUCUCAGAGUAGCAAGAAGACAUGGCAGAGCUGCCCUCAGGCUGGAGGCUUGCAAGCCGGAGGCGCACCACUGUCUAAGCAAACCAGGCACGAGGAAACGCAUUCGCAAGCCUGAGAAGAUGAGUGGCCAUCACUGGCAUCACCGAAAUGGCCUCCUCAACCGGACGGGAAGAAUCCCUCCCCCAGCUGACUCCCCGAGAUGCUCCAUGCCCCACGUUCCUGACCUCCUAGGGGAAGGAGCAGGAGGAACCCAAGGCCAUCAGAGGGGCCUGGACUGUGGGUGCUGCCAAGUCUGUAGGUGACCCGGUGACCAUCCCGGUUUGCAGGGGACCAAGAUUCUUUCUGGGAUGUGGUGCUUUCAGUGGCAACAAGAAGAGCCCCCUCGGCAGCCCUGGCAAUCCAGGACAGUGGGUCGCCCCCGCACGGCCUGACGCUGUGGCGUGGAGUCUCCAGCGGGGCAGCACUGGGUUGGAGGAGGGAGGAUGCUGCCAGCAUCACGGGGAGGUCACAUGCCAGACACUGGUGUCUGAUUUCCCCUUGAGAGAGGUUUCAUCACUGCCCCGUCCUUGGAAAGGGUCACCCAGUCAGACUACAGAGCCAGGACCAUGAUCCAAAGCUGAGCAGUGCCCACCAAAGACAGUGUUCCCAGUGCUCAGGAGCCCUUGGGCCUUUAUAAGGUGUCUACCGUGGGACUAAAAAAACACCUGUCCCCAGGUGACAGCAUGCUGCCUUUGAAACACAGCUCUGUGAGAACACACCUGGCAAAGGCAGUCUUGGGGGCCACGCGGCAGGGACCCCUUUCCUUUACCAACUCUCACAGGCUGAGCCGCUCUUGCUGUGAAUGUACGUGGCCUUGGUAUGUUCUCCAGCAAGAUUAUAAGUGGAGGAUGGAGUCAGCUGGGAAGCGAGGCUCAGAUCAAGGAGGGCUACUACCAGGAUCCCUGCAGAAACAGGGACACAGGGAGAGAUGGCUGUAAAAUCCUUGAGCUUUAAGGGGUAAGCUCAUGGAGCCCUGAAAAAUAUGACUGCAUUGCAAAUGCCAACUUGUAGACACAAAUAUCGUGGAAGCAGGCCACGUUCAGCCUUGCACACUGUGCGCUCUUCCAUGACUGAGAACGUUAGUCACCUGCACCCUGACCAACCUCUCAUCCCUGAAGCCUGCUGGGAGGUGUCUGGGGACAGGAACGAAAAUUUACAAUGUUCUUUGGUUGUUUAAUUUUGAAUUUUCUCCCUCAUUAUUAUUGAAACUGAAACAUCUAAGAGGACACCCAGAUUUAUCUGAAACCGGAAGAUGACACGUAUGAAGGAUCAAGCAUUCAUCACAAACACAGGCAGGCGAAGGAGACCAAAACACAGCUAGGACCAUGCCAAGCGUCGGUGAUGAUGUGGAGAAAUGGGGACCUGCCAGACACUGCUGGUGGGGAGGUGACAUGGUGCAGCCACUAUGGAAAAUAGUCCAGCAGUUCCUCGAAAUGGAAAGCAGGAGUCCCAUGACCCAGCAGUUCCAUUUUCAAGGAAGUCCCCAAGAGAAAUAGAAACUUACGUCUUCACAAAAGCUUGAAAAUACACAUUCAUAGCAGCAUGAUUCAUAACAUCAAAAAGCAGAAACAGCCCAAAUGCCCAUCAGUGGAUGGAUGGAUAAGCACAAUGUGGCCCCUCCAUACGACACAAUAUUACUCAGCCAUAAGAACGAGUGAGGUAGCGGCACAGGCCACAAAGUGGGCGAACCUGGGAACCACGGGACUGAGUGGAAGGAGCCAGUCACAAAAGGUCAUGGGCUGUCUGAAUCCAUUCAUUUGAAUUUCCAGACUAGGCAAAUCCACAGAGACAGAAAGUGGGUUGGUGGUUGCAGUGGCUGGGGGCAGGGGGACAUGGGGAGAGUGCGGAGUGAGUACUAAUAGGUGUGUGGUUUCUUUUUUCAGUGAUAAAAAUGUACUAAAAUUUAUUGUGAUGGUUGCACAAGUCUGUGGCUGAAAACCACUGAAUUGUACGUUUUAAUGGGGUGCAUUGUUUGCGUGUGAAUCACAUCUCAAUAAAGCUGUUUUUAAAAUGCAAUUAUUGCACAAUGCAAA
This 11969-nucleotide long non-coding RNA is filed under the name Homo sapiens (human). Its description in RNAcentral is "HSALNT0289861". The record is from RNAcentral. Lineage: Eukaryota; Metazoa; Chordata; Mammalia; Primates; Hominidae.